UACGUAGGGGGCAAGCGUUGUCCGGAUUUAUUGGGCGUAAAGAGCGUGUAGGCGGCCAUGCAGGUCCGUUGUGAAAACUCGAGGCUCAACCUCGAGACGUCGAUGGAAACCGUCUGGCUAGAGUCCGGAAGAGGAGAGUGGAAUUCCUGGUGUAGCGGUGAAAUGCGCAGAUAUCAGGAAGAACACCUAUGGCGAAGGCAGCUCUCUGGGCAUUAACUGACGCUGAGGAGCGAAAGCAUGGGGAGCGAACAGG
RNAcentral lists this ribosomal RNA (253 nucleotides) under uncultured bacterium. RNAcentral describes it as "partial 16S ribosomal RNA". It matches the Rfam family "Bacterial small subunit ribosomal RNA", at positions 524 to 776 of the family's 1533-position model. The record is from RNAcentral.